UAGGGAAUAUUGCGCAAUGGGGGAAACCCUGACGCAGCAACGCCGCGUGAGUGAUGAAGGCUCUAGGGUCGUAAAGCUCUGUCGUAAAGGAAUAAUUUUGAAGGUACUUUACAAGAAAGGACCGGCUAACUCCGUGCCAGCAGCCGCGGUAAUACGGGGGGUCCAAGCGUUGUUCGGAAUCAUUGGGCGUAAAGCGGGUGUAGGCGGACCGACAAGUCAGAAGUGAAAGCCCUGGGCUCAACCCAGGAAGUGCUUUUGAAACUGUCGGUCUUGAGUGCAGUAGAGGAGAGUGGAAUUCCAGGUGUAGUGGUGAAAUACGUAGAUAUCUGGAGGAACAUCAGUGGCGAAGGCGGCUCUCUGGACUGUUACUGACGCUCAGACCCGAAAGCGUGGGGAGCAAACAGGAUUAGAUACCCCCGUAGUCC
RNAcentral lists this ribosomal RNA (425 nucleotides) under uncultured prokaryote. Its description in RNAcentral is "bacterial SSU rRNA". It matches the Rfam family "Bacterial small subunit ribosomal RNA", at positions 355 to 796 of the family's 1533-position model. The record is from RNAcentral.